UGGGAUUGUGGCUCAGUGGUAGAGCGCUCGCCUAGCAUGCACGAAGCACUGAGUUUGAUCCUCAGCACCUAA
This 72-nucleotide transfer RNA is filed under the name Marmota monax (woodchuck). RNAcentral describes it as "tRNA.Ala". It matches the Rfam family "tRNA". Rfam says of the family: Transfer RNA (tRNA) molecules are approximately 80 nucleotides in length. Their secondary structure includes four short double-helical elements and three loops (D, anti-codon, and T loops). Further hydrogen bonds mediate the characteristic L-shaped molecular structure. tRNAs have two regions of fundamental functional importance: the anti-codon, which is responsible for specific mRNA codon recognition, and the 3' end, to which the tRNAs corresponding amino acid is attached (by aminoacyl-tRNA synthetases). tRNAs cope with the degeneracy of the genetic code in two manners: having more than one tRNA (with a specific anti-codon) for a particular amino acid; and 'wobble' base-pairing, i.e. permitting non-standard base-pairing at the 3rd anti-codon position. The record is from RNAcentral. Lineage: Eukaryota; Metazoa; Chordata; Mammalia; Rodentia; Sciuridae.